This 221-nucleotide unclassified non-coding RNA is filed under the name Hevea brasiliensis (rubber tree). The record is from RNAcentral. Lineage: Eukaryota; Viridiplantae; Streptophyta; Magnoliopsida; Malpighiales; Euphorbiaceae.
AAGCUCCAGGGUGUUGUAAAACCAAAUAAUAACCUGUAGCUUCCACCCACCGAGUCCUGCUAACACAAAAGCCUCUUCCCAGGAUUUCCCAGUAGCUUCAAGCAAAGCAGCAUUGCAUGGCUUCAGUUCCACAGAGGCACCAGUAAACAUUGAGGCUGCCUCCUCCCACCCCCUAUUAUGUCCCAUGCACAUGACUGUAUGGAUCUUAUCGCUUGAAUAUC